GACGAACGCUGGCGGCGUGCUUAACACAUGCAAGUCGAACGGAAAGGCCCUGCUUUUGUGGGGUGCUCGAGUGGCGAACGGGUGAGUAACACGUGAGUAACCUGCCCUUGACUUUGGGAUAACUUCAGGAAACUGGGGCUAAUACCGGAUAGGAGCUCCUGCCGCAUGGUGGGGGUUGGAAAGUUUCGGCGGUUGGGGAUGGACUCGCGGCUUAUCAGCUUGUUGGUGGGGUAGUGGCUUACCAAGGCUUUGACGGGUAGCCGGCCUGAGAGGGUGACCGGCCACAUUGGGACUGAGAUACGGCCCAGACUCCUACGGGAGGCAGCAGUGGGGAAUAUUGCACAAUGGGCGGAAGCCUGAUGCAGCAACGCCGCGUGCGGGAUGACGGCCUUCGGGUUGUAAACCGCUUUCGCCUGUGACGAAGCGUGAGUGACGGUAAUGGGUAAAGAAGCACCGGCUAACUACGUGCCAGCAGCCGCGGUGAUACGUAGGGUGCGAGCGUUGUCCGGAUUUAUUGGGCGUAAAGGGCUCGUAGGUGGUUGAUCGCGUCGGAAGUGUAAUCUUGGGGCUUAACCCUGGGCGUGCUUUCGAUACGGGUUGACUUGAGGAAGGUAGGGGAGAAUGGAAUUCCUGGUGGAGCGGUGGAAUGCGCAGAUAUCAGGAGGAACACCAGUGGCGAAGGCGGUUCUCUGGGCCUUUCCUGACGCUGAGGAGCGAAAGCGUGGGGAGCGAACAGGCUUAGAUACCCUGGUAGUCCACGCUGUAAACGGUGGGUACUAGGUGUGGGGUCCAUUCCACGGGUUCCGUGCCGUAGUUAACGCUUUAAGUACCCCGCCUGGGGAGUACGGCCGCAAGGCUAAAACUCAAAGGAAUUGACGGGGCCCCGCACAAGCGGCGGAGCAUGCGGAUUAAUUCGAUGCAACGCGUAGAACCUUACCUGGGUUUGACAUGGAUCGGGAGCGCUCAGAGAUGGGUGUGCCUCUUUUGGGGUCGGUUCACAGGUGGUGCAUGGCUGUCGUCAGCUCGUGUCGUGAGAUGUUGGGUUAAGUCCCGCAACGAGCGCAACCCUUGUUCACUGUUGCCAGCACGUUAUGGUGGGGACUCAGUGGAGACCGCCGGGGUCAACUCGGAGGAAGGUGGGGAUGACGUCAAGUCAUCAUGCCCCUUAUGUCCAGGGCUUCACGCAUGCUACAAUGGCAGGUACAGAGAGUGGCGAGCCUGUGAGGGUGAGCGAAUCUCGGAAAGCCGGUCUCAGUUCGGAUUGGGGUCUGCAACUCGACCUCAUGAAGUCGGAGUCGCUAGUAAUCGCAGAUCAGCAACGCUGCGGUGAAUACGUUCCCGGG
This 1343-nucleotide ribosomal RNA is filed under the name uncultured bacterium. RNAcentral describes it as "16S ribosomal RNA". It matches the Rfam family "Bacterial small subunit ribosomal RNA", at positions 28 to 1378 of the family's 1533-position model. The record is from RNAcentral.